Molecule: ribosomal RNA, 253 nt
Filed under: uncultured bacterium
Lineage: Bacteria
Description: partial 16S ribosomal RNA
Rfam family: Bacterial small subunit ribosomal RNA
Source: RNAcentral
UACGUAGGGGGCAAGCGUUGUCCGGAUUUACUGGGCGUAAAGAGCGUGUAGGCGGCCAAGCAGGUCCGUUGUGAAAACUGGAGGCUUAACCUCCAGACGUCGACGGAAACCGCGUGGCUAGAGUCCGGAAGAGGAGAGUGGAAUUCCUGGUGUAGCGGUGAAACGCGCAGAUAUCAGGAAGAACACCAAUGGCGAAGGCAGCUCUCUGGGACGGUACUGACGCUGAGACGCGAAAGCGUGGGGAGCGAACAGG